GUCGGUGGCUCAGUGGCAGAGCACUUGCCUCACAUGCACGAGGCACUGGGUUCCACCCUCAGCACCACA
This 69-nucleotide transfer RNA is filed under the name Marmota monax (woodchuck). RNAcentral describes it as "tRNA.Val". It matches the Rfam family "tRNA". From Rfam's summary of the family: Transfer RNA (tRNA) molecules are approximately 80 nucleotides in length. Their secondary structure includes four short double-helical elements and three loops (D, anti-codon, and T loops). Lineage: Eukaryota; Metazoa; Chordata; Mammalia; Rodentia; Sciuridae. The record is from RNAcentral.